ACAUGCAAGUCGAACGGGGUAGAGAGCUUCGGUUUUCGUUACUUAGUGGCGAACGGGUGAGUAACGCGUGAGAAACCUGCCUUUCAGUGGGGGACAACAGUUGGAAACGACUGCUAAUACCGCAUAAUGUUAUUUGGGGGCAUCCCUGAAUAACCAAAGCUUUAUGUGCUGAAAGAUGGUCUCGCGUCUGAUUAGCUAGUUGGUGAGGUAACGGCCCACCAAGGCGACGAUCAGUAGCCGGACUGAGAGGUUGACCGGCCACAUUGGGACUGAGAUACGGCCCAGACUCCUACGGGAGGCAGCAGUGGGGAAUAUUGCACAAUGGGCGCAAGCCUGAUGCAGCAACGCCGCGUGAGGGAAGACGGUUUUCGGAUUGUAAACCUCUGUCUUUGGUGACGAAGAAGUGACGGUAGCCAAGGAGGAAGCCACGGCUAACUACGUG
Molecule: ribosomal RNA, 442 nt
Filed under: uncultured bacterium
Lineage: Bacteria
Description: bacterial SSU rRNA
Rfam family: Bacterial small subunit ribosomal RNA
Source: RNAcentral